This 460-nucleotide ribosomal RNA is filed under the name uncultured bacterium. RNAcentral describes it as "partial 16S ribosomal RNA". It matches the Rfam family "Bacterial small subunit ribosomal RNA", at positions 338 to 795 of the family's 1533-position model. The record is from RNAcentral.
CCUACGGGUGGCUGCAGUGAGGAAUAUUGGUCAAUGGGCGAGAGCCUGAACCAGCCAAGUAGCGUGAAGGAUGACGGCCCUACGGGUUGUAAACUUCUUUUGUCAGGGAGCAAUUGAGUCCACGUGUGGUCUUUUCGAGAGAACCUGUAGAAAAAGCCUCGGCUAACUCCGUGCCAGCAGCCGCGGUACUAGGGAGGACGCGAGCGUUAUCCGGAUUUUUUGGGUUAAAGGGGGGGGUAGGCGGAGUAUCAAGUCAGCGGUAAAGAUUCGGGGCUCAACCCCGUCGUGCCGUUGAAACUGGUGUUCUUGAGUGGACGAGAAGUAGGCGGAAUGCGUGGUGUAGCGGUGAAAUGCAUAGAUAUCACGCAGAACUCCGAUUGCGAAGGCAGCAUACCGGCGCCCAACUGACGCUGAUGCACGAAAGCGUGGGUAUCGAACAGGAUUAGAUACCCGAGUAGUC